Podarcis lilfordi (Lilford's wall lizard) is the source of this 91-nucleotide non-coding RNA. The record is from the annotation of a GenBank genome assembly. NCBI's taxonomy places the organism in Eukaryota, Metazoa, Chordata, Lepidosauria, Squamata, Lacertidae.
GGAAGGGUGGCUCAGGAGAAAGUGUGUGUGUGGCUACAGCAUGAGACUCUUAAUCUCAAGAACAAGAGUUCGAGCCCAUGGCUGCACUUCA